GAAAUGCGAUAAGUAAUGUGAAUUGCAGAAUUCCGUGAAUCAUUAAAUCUUGGAACGCAAAUUGCACUCCUUGGUAUUCCGAGGAAGUACACUUGCUUGAGGGUCAGUUAAAAAAAAAUAUCGUUACAUUUUUUUGGUGUUGCGGAUCUGGGUUAUCCGGUUUUAAGUCGGUUACCUAAAAUUAAAGAUAUAAUGUGAUACGUACUAAGAUAAAGUCGUUAAUUACCUCUAAUUUUUUUAGUUAGUAGUGUAUAUAAUUUCUGAAAAUGACCUCAAGUGAGAGUACCCGCUGAACUUAA
RNAcentral lists this unclassified non-coding RNA (299 nucleotides) under uncultured Glomeromycetes. Its description in RNAcentral is "sequence contains ITS1". The stretch from base 1 to 106 matches the Rfam family "5.8S ribosomal RNA", at positions 50 to 154 of the family's 154-position model. The record is from RNAcentral. Lineage: Eukaryota; Fungi; Glomeromycota; Glomeromycetes.